Non-coding RNA from Capra hircus (goat), 71 nucleotides. The record is from Ensembl. Lineage: Eukaryota; Metazoa; Chordata; Mammalia; Artiodactyla; Bovidae.
GUAAAUAUAGUUUAAAAAAAAACAUUAGAUUGUGAAUCUAACAAUAGAAGCCUAUCACCUUCUUAUUUACC